CAGUCGCCGCGGUAAUACGUAGGGUGCGAGCGUUAAUCGGAAUUACUGGGCGUAAAGCGUGCGCAGGCGGUUUUGUAAGACAGGCGUGAAAUCCCCGGGCUCAACCUGGGAAUGGCGCUUGUGACUGCAAAGCUAGAGUGCGGCAGAGGGGGAUGGAAUUCCGCGUGUAGCAGUGAAAUGCGUAGAUAUGCGGAGGAACACCGAUGGCGAAGGCAAUCCCCUGGGCCUGCACUGACGCUCAUGCACGAAAGCGUGGGGAGCAAACAGGAUUAGAUACCCCCGUAGUCCCUGUCUCUUAUAC
Molecule: ribosomal RNA, 301 nt
Filed under: uncultured bacterium
Lineage: Bacteria
Description: partial 16S ribosomal RNA
Rfam family: Bacterial small subunit ribosomal RNA
Source: RNAcentral